RNAcentral lists this ribosomal RNA (496 nucleotides) under uncultured Porphyromonadaceae bacterium. RNAcentral's name for it is "bacterial SSU rRNA". It matches the Rfam family "Bacterial small subunit ribosomal RNA", at positions 28 to 512 of the family's 1533-position model. The record is from RNAcentral. Lineage: Bacteria; Pseudomonadati; Bacteroidota; Bacteroidia; Bacteroidales; Porphyromonadaceae.
GAUAAACGCUAGCGAUAGGCUUAACACAUGCAAGUCGAGGGGCAGCAUAGAAGUAGUUUACUACUUUAGAUGGCGACCGGCGGAUGGGUGAGUAACGCGUAUGCAAUCUACCUAAUGCGGGAGGAUAGCCCGGAGAAAUUCGGAUUAAUACUCCAUGUUAUGUUUUUCUCGCACGAGAGAAGCAUUAAAGAUUUAUCGGCAUUAGAUGAGCAUGCGUUCCAUUAGUUAGUUGGUAGGUAACGGCUUACCAAGACAUCGAUGGAUAGGGGGAACUGAGAGGUUUAUCCCCCCACACUGGUACUGAGACACGGACCCAGACUCCUACGGGAGGCAGCAGUGAGGAAUCUUGGUCAAUGAGCGAGAGCUUGAACCAGCCAAGUCGCGUGAAGGAAGACGGCCUUAUGGGUUGUAAACUUCUUUAUACAGGAAUAAAGUGAGCUACGUGUAGCUUUUUGUAUGUACUGUAUGAAUAAGCAUCGGCUAACUUCGUGCCAGC